RNAcentral lists this ribosomal RNA (490 nucleotides) under uncultured bacterium. RNAcentral's name for it is "bacterial SSU rRNA". It matches the Rfam family "Bacterial small subunit ribosomal RNA", at positions 29 to 513 of the family's 1533-position model. The record is from RNAcentral.
AACGAACGCUGGCGGCGCGCCUAAUACAUGCAAGUCGAGCGAGAAGACGUAGCAAUACGUUUGUAAAGCGGCGAACGGGUGAGGAAUACAUGGGUAACCUACCCUCGAGUGGGGAAUAACUAGCCGAAAGGUUAGCUAAUACCGCGUACGCUCCUUGGACUUCGGUUCAGGGAGGAAAGCGAUACCGUGGGUAUCGCGCUCUUGGAUGGGCUCAUGUCCUAUCAGCUUGUUGGGAGGUAACGGCUCACCAAGGCUUCGACGGGUAGCUGGUCUGAGAGGACGAUCAGCCACACUGGCACUGCGACACGGGCCAGACUCCUACGGGAGGCAGCAGUAAGGAAUAUUGCGCAAUGGGCGAAAGCCUGACGCAGCGACGCCGCGUGGGGGAUGAAGGUCUUCGGAUUGUAAACCCCUUUCGGGAGGGAAGAUGGAACGAGCAAUCGUUCGGACGGUACCUCCAGAAGCAGCCACGGCUAACUUCGUGCCAGCA